GAUGAAGUGGCUGAAUUUGUAAGGCAAUAAAUUGUAAAUUUAUCUAUGAUUAGUAAUUAAUCCUUUAUCA
Molecule: transfer RNA, 70 nt
Filed under: Aethus nigritus
Lineage: Eukaryota; Metazoa; Arthropoda; Insecta; Hemiptera; Cydnidae
Description: tRNA-Tyr
Rfam family: tRNA
About the family: Transfer RNA (tRNA) molecules are approximately 80 nucleotides in length. Their secondary structure includes four short double-helical elements and three loops (D, anti-codon, and T loops).
Source: RNAcentral